RNAcentral lists this ribosomal RNA (578 nucleotides) under Streptomyces sp. StTD770. RNAcentral's name for it is "bacterial SSU rRNA". It matches the Rfam family "Bacterial small subunit ribosomal RNA", at positions 102 to 694 of the family's 1533-position model. Lineage: Bacteria; Bacillati; Actinomycetota; Actinomycetes; Kitasatosporales; Streptomycetaceae. RNAcentral also lists the same sequence under 23 other names. The record is from RNAcentral.
ACGGGUGAGUAACACGUGGGCAAUCUGCCCUUCACUCUGGGACAAGCCCUGGAAACGGGGUCUAAUACCGGAUACCACUUCCACUCGCAUGGGUGGGGGUUGAAAGCUCCGGCGGUGAAGGAUGAGCCCGCGGCCUAUCAGCUUGUUGGUGAGGUAACGGCUCACCAAGGCGACGACGGGUAGCCGGCCUGAGAGGGCGACCGGCCACACUGGGACUGAGACACGGCCCAGACUCCUACGGGAGGCAGCAGUGGGGAAUAUUGCACAAUGGGCGAAAGCCUGAUGCAGCGACGCCGCGUGAGGGAUGACGGCCUUCGGGUUGUAAACCUCUUUCAGCAGGGAAGAAGCGAAAGUGACGGUACCUGCAGAAGAAGCGCCGGCUAACUACGUGCCAGCAGCCGCGGUAAUACGUAGGGCGCAAGCGUUGUCCGGAAUUAUUGGGCGUAAAGAGCUCGUAGGCGGUCUGUCGCGUCGGAUGUGAAAGCCCGGGGCUUAACCCCGGGUCUGCAUUCGAUACGGGCAGACUAGAGUGUGGUAGGGGAGAUCGGAAUUCCUGGUGUAGCGGUGAAAUGCGCAGA